RNAcentral lists this ribosomal RNA (540 nucleotides) under uncultured Streptococcus sp. RNAcentral describes it as "bacterial SSU rRNA". It matches the Rfam family "Bacterial small subunit ribosomal RNA", at positions 57 to 584 of the family's 1533-position model. Lineage: Bacteria; Bacillati; Bacillota; Bacilli; Lactobacillales; Streptococcaceae. The record is from RNAcentral.
ACAGGAUGCACCGUAGUUUACUACACCGUAUUCUGUGAGUUGCGAACGGGUGAGUAACGCGUAGGUAACCUGCCUGGUAGCGGGGGAUAACUAUUGGAAACGAUAGCUAACACCGCAUAAGAACAUUUACUGCAUGGUAGAUGUUUAAAAGGUGCAAAUGCAUCACUACCAGAUGGACCUGCGUUGUAUUAGCUAGUAGGUGAGGUAACGGCUCACCUAGGCGACGAUACAUAGCCGACCUGAGAGGGUGAUCGGCCACACUGGGACUGAGACACGGCCCAGACUCCUACGGGAGGCAGCAGUAGGGAAUCUUCGGCAAUGGGGGGAACCCUGACCGAGCAACGCCGCGUGAGUGAAGAAGGUUUUCGGAUCGUAAAGCUCUGUUGUUAAGGAAGAACGAGUGUGAGAAUGGAAAGUUCAUACUGUGACGGUACUUAACCAGAAAGGGACGGCUAACUACGUGCCAGCAGCCGCGGUAAUACGUAGGUCCCGAGCGUUGUCCGGAUUUAUUGGGCGUAAAGCGAGCGCAGGCGGUUAGAU